Molecule: long non-coding RNA, 650 nt
Filed under: Amborella trichopoda
Lineage: Eukaryota; Viridiplantae; Streptophyta; Magnoliopsida; Amborellales; Amborellaceae
Description: long non-coding RNA (ATRI_LNC005428)
Source: RNAcentral
AACAAUAUAUUGAAAAAUAAGAAAUAUUGGUUGUAAAUCGGUUUUGUUUCAUAUGAAGUUUUAUUAAAGAGAUGAACAAUUAAUAACUUACAAAAGAGGAUCAUAUAAGAGCUGGUUAUUCUUCUUUCUAGUUAAGAAGACAUAAUGAUCAUCAUAUGUUUGCAUUAACAGAUGGAAGAAGAGUGACAUUAGUGGGUGUCCAAGAACUAGGUGGUGGAACUUGGAAAUGGAGAAAACAAACUUAUUUAGAAAAAAAAUUGAUGAAAGAAAGAAAAUGGAAUUCUAAAACUGAAAUUAAUUUUGUAUAAAAUGAAAUGGCUUAGUGUAUUAAGAAAGCGGCAAAAGAAGUUUUAAGAGAGCCAAGAGGGAAAAGACUUUUAAAGGAAACCUUGUGGUGGAAUGAUCAGGUUCAAAAGGCUAUUAGAGAAAAAUGAUUAUAUUACAAUGCCAAUGAAAGAUAAAAUUCAAAAUGAAUACAUUCGAGGGAAUACAAAGAUAGCUCCAAUAGGCCAAAAAAUGAGGGAAAAUAGACUUAUAUAGUCAGAUCAUGUGCAAUAUCGAUCUAGAAUAAUAUCGGUUAUGAAAGGUGAUUUGGUUCCAGUAGAAGGCUCUAAAAGGGUAGAGGGAAGUCCAAGGAUAUGGAUGGAAGU